This is a non-coding RNA of Hypanus sabinus (Atlantic stingray), 75 nucleotides long. The record is from the annotation of a RefSeq genome assembly. Lineage: Eukaryota; Metazoa; Chordata; Chondrichthyes; Myliobatiformes; Dasyatidae.
GUCAGGGUGGCCGAGUGGUCCAAGGCGCCAGAUCUAAGGCACCUGGAGACAUGGGUUCGAACCCCACUCCUGACA